RNAcentral lists this long non-coding RNA (756 nucleotides) under Pogona vitticeps (central bearded dragon). RNAcentral describes it as "lncRNA (ENSPVIG00000001753.1)". Lineage: Eukaryota; Metazoa; Chordata; Lepidosauria; Squamata; Agamidae. The record is from RNAcentral.
UAAUCUUUAUAGGAAGCAUCCAAAAUAUAAAAUUUAAUUUAGAAAUAUUUUUCAGUUUGCAUAAUACCACUCUACCAAACCAAGAAAUCUUUAAUUUCUGAUAAUCUUUUAUCCUUCCAGUUAUCUCUCUUUUUUAAUCUAUCCAGAUUUAUUUUAAUUAUAUCCUCUAAGUUCCAAGUACUGUUACUUGGAACUUACAGGUGCUCUCAAGAUUAAGACAAGGCAACCAGCUGUCAGGGUAAUCAGUCAGGAUUUUAUCACAGGAGCCAUUUUAGAGAGAAUCACCUGGGCAUACCACAGAGCAACACUGACUCCUGUUGUAAUGUCCUUGUGACAUAUAUGUUCACUCCUGUGCAUCCACAUUUUCAGGAACUUGGUCGGAAACUGUACUGCUAUAAGACUGAAGAAACGUUAAGAAGAUUAUGUGGCUAUUCCAUGCCAAUUGUUUUAGUGCCAAUGUUGUUUUAAACCAGAGGAAUGCUGGCACAUCUCUUUGAAGGCCAGGUGAACCAAAACAGGAUCUGUGAACUUGAAUGCAGAUGGCCUGCCUGUUUUUGCAAUUUCUUUGAAGGCGCAUGGAAGAAAACAAGGGAUACUCCUUUCUGAAUGUCUCCACAAUUCAUUUUGAGAUCUGGAGAUGUUACAAUGGCAUUACAAGAAGGCACUGUAGCAGAUCUGUAGAAAGCAACCGCUCUGUGUAUUGUCAUGAUUCACACAGUUAGACCUGUGGCUAUGAGGGAGGUUGAAAGAGACAAC